RNAcentral lists this ribosomal RNA (498 nucleotides) under uncultured bacterium. Its description in RNAcentral is "partial 16S ribosomal RNA". It matches the Rfam family "Bacterial small subunit ribosomal RNA", at positions 30 to 523 of the family's 1533-position model. The record is from RNAcentral.
AUUGAACGCUGGCGGCAUGCCUUACACAUGCAAGUCGAACGGUAACGGGCCUUCGGGUGCCGACGAGUGGCGAACGGGUGAGUAAUAUAUCGGAACGUACCUUUCAGUGGGGGAUAACGUAGCGAAAGUUACGCUAAUACCGCAUAUUCUGUGCGCAGGAAAGCAGGGGACCUUCGGGCCUUGCGCUGAUUGAGCGGCCGAUAUCAGAUUAGCUAGUUGGUGAGGUAAAGGCUCACCAAGGCGACGAUCUGUAGCGGGUCUGAGAGGAUGAUCCGCCACACUGGAACUGAGACACGGUCCAGACUCCUACGGGAGGCAGCAGUGGGGAAUUUUGGACAAUGGGGGCAACCCUGAUCCAGCCAUGCCGCGUGAGUGAAGAAGGCCUUCGGGUUGUAAAGCUCUUUCGGCCGGGAAGAAAUCGUAUGGGCUAAUACCCUGUGCGGAUGACGGUACCGGCAUAAGAAGCACCGGCUAACUACGUGCCAGCAGCCGCCGUAA